RNAcentral lists this ribosomal RNA (443 nucleotides) under uncultured bacterium. RNAcentral describes it as "partial 16S ribosomal RNA". It matches the Rfam family "Bacterial small subunit ribosomal RNA", at positions 338 to 795 of the family's 1533-position model. The record is from RNAcentral.
CCUACGGGUGGCAGCAGUGGGGAAUAUUGGGCAAUGGGCGCAAGCCUGACCCAGCAACGCCGCGUGAAGGAAGAAGGCUUUCGGGUUGUAAACUUCUUUUCUCAGGGACGAAGCAAGUGACGGUACCUGAGGAAUAAGCCACGGCUAACUACGUGCCAGCAGCCGCGGUAAUACGUAGGUGGCAAGCGUUAUCCGGAUUUACUGGGCGUAAAGGGAGCGUAGGCGGCCUGCCAAGUCUGAUGUGAAAUACCGGGGCUCAACCCCGGGGCUGCAUUGGAAACUGGCAGGCUGGAGUGCCGGGGAGGCAGGCGGAAUUCCUAGUGUAGCGGUGAAAUGCGUAGAUAUUAGGAGGAACACCAGUGGCGAAGGCGGCCUGCUGGACGGUGACUGACGCUGAGGCUCGAAAGCGUGGGGAGCAAACAGGAUUAGAUACCCUGGUAGUC